UUGCAUCUGGAGCCAGCGAGGAUGAGAACCUCCGGGGGCGGGAGGUUCGACCCGAGCGAAGCGAGAGAACGUUGCGCGAGCAACGGCCCGCAGGGCGAGCCACGUAGUGAUGAGUCAUCCUCUAUCACCGACCA
This 134-nucleotide small RNA is filed under the name Salmonella enterica subsp. enterica serovar Oranienburg. RNAcentral's name for it is "RtT sRNA". It matches the Rfam family "RtT RNA". Rfam says of the family: This family represents a bacterial cis-regulatory element known as RtT RNA. RNAcentral also lists the same sequence under 1 other name. The record is from RNAcentral. Lineage: Bacteria; Pseudomonadati; Pseudomonadota; Gammaproteobacteria; Enterobacterales; Enterobacteriaceae.